GCGUGGGGAGCGAACAGGAUUAGAUACCCUGGUAGUCCACGCCGUAAACGAUGGACACUAGAUGUUGGCCUCUUCGGGGGUCGGUGUCGUAGCUAACGCGUUAAGUGUCCCGCCUGGGAAGUACGCUCGCAAGAGUGCAACUCAAAGGAAUUGACGGGGGCCCGCACAAGCGGUGGAGCAUGUGCUUUAAUUCGAUGCAACGCGAAGUACCUUACCUGGACUUGACAUGGGGGUGAAAGUUUUCAGAGAUGAAAACCCGUUCCUUCGGGAACGCCCUACACAGGUGCAGCAUGGUUGUCGUCAGCUCGUGUCGUGAGAUGUUGGGUUAAGUCCCGCAACGAGCGCAACCCUUGUCCAUUAGUUGCCAGCGGGUCAUGCCGGGAACUCUAGGGAGACUGCCUGGUACAACCAGGAGGAAGGUGGGGAUGACGUCAAAUCAUCAUGGCCCUUACGUCCAGGGCUAGACACGUGCUACAAUGGCCGCUACAGAGGGCUGCAAGACUGCGAAGUCAAGCCAAUCCCUAAAAACCGCUCUCAGUUCGGAUUGGAGUCUGCAAUUCGACUCCAUGAAGCUGGAAUCGCUAGUAAUCACGGAUCAGCAUGCCGCGGUGAUACGUUCCCGGGCCUUGUACACACCGCCCGUCAAGCCACGUAAGAUGGCAGUGCCCGAAGUCGCU
This 677-nucleotide ribosomal RNA is filed under the name uncultured organism. Its description in RNAcentral is "bacterial SSU rRNA". It matches the Rfam family "Bacterial small subunit ribosomal RNA", at positions 759 to 1431 of the family's 1533-position model. The record is from RNAcentral.